AAAUAUGAAAUUGGAGGGAGAGGAGGAUCUAUUUCCGGUAGUAUCUAUUCAAACUGAACGAUUCAAAGCUCCAGUGCGUCCUUAGGAGUAAAAACAGUUUCCACACAGCACAUUGAGAUUAGUAUUCRCAAACAAGAUCCUGUUGCUGUGGAUAAACUAAAGAGAUCAUCUCUGCUGUGAAGGACUAGCAGUUAAAAGAAAAAGAAAUAAAAAGCUGAGAGGUCGGAUCUGCGUGUCUCAUUGACCUGUUGGAGAGCCCUCGGUGGAGACCACGACUGGAGCUCCGUCGUCAGCAGCAUCCCAUAUCUCUCCUGCGUCUCCCUGUGCCACCCUUGACUUCGGGGCUGAUCUCUUUUCCAAUUGCUGCUUCCUGAGGACCAUCAYGCUCAGCUCCAGCCAUGGUUUUAUACUUCUACUUAUGUAAUAAAACAAUAUUUUUUGAUGUUUGCACUGGAGCUCAUGAACAGCAGUAAAGCAGAGCAGAGGCRGCGCAGCCAGUGCUCCUGCCCCUGCUUCUUCUUCUAGGGGUGUGUGAUGUUCCUAUGUCUGAAAUUUCUGUGUCUGGAACUUCAUGCAUUGAGCAGCUCUAGGAAGGGGCACAAAAAAAAUGCUAUGAAAUUUCA
Long non-coding RNA from Nothoprocta perdicaria, 623 nucleotides. RefSeq lists it as uncharacterized. The transcript is spliced from 3 exons. The record is from RefSeq and is a predicted model, not a curated record. Lineage: Eukaryota; Metazoa; Chordata; Aves; Tinamiformes; Tinamidae.